RNAcentral lists this ribosomal RNA (604 nucleotides) under uncultured bacterium. RNAcentral's name for it is "bacterial SSU rRNA". It matches the Rfam family "Bacterial small subunit ribosomal RNA", at positions 338 to 944 of the family's 1533-position model. The record is from RNAcentral.
CCUACGGGAGGCAGCAGUAGGGAAUAUUGGGCAAUGGAGGCAACUCUGACCCAGCCAUGCCGCGUGCAGGAAGAAGGCGUUAUGCGUUGUAAACUGCUUUUAUAUAGGAAGAAAUAGACCUUGCGAGGUAAGUUGACGGUACUAUAUGAAUAAGCACCGGCUAACUCCGUGCCAGCAGCCGCGGUAAUACGGAGGGUGCAAGCGUUGUCCGGAUUUAUGGGUUUAAAGGGUGCGUAGGCGGUUUAUAAGUCAGUGGUGAAAGACGGUCGCUCAACGAUUGCAGUGCCAUUGAUACUGGUAGACUUGAGUGGGAUUGAGGUAGCUGGAAUGGAUAGUGUAGCGGUGAAAUGCAUAGAUAUUAUCCAGAACACCAAUUGCGUAGGCAAGUUACUAAGUCUCAACUGACGCUGAGGCACGAAAGUGUGGGUAUCAAACAGGAUUAGAUACCCUGGUAGUCCACACUGUAAACGAUGAUAACUAACUGUUGGCUUUCGAGUCAGUGGUACAGAGAAAUCGUUAAGUUAUCCACCUGGGGAUACGCCGGCAACGGUGAAACGUCAAAGAGUAGUGCGNGNGAGAGACGACGACGACGACGAGGAGGAGG